GGGCGGCGUACGGCUCAGUAACAUGUGGUCAAUCUACCCUCAGGACGGAGAUAACCUCGGGAAACUGAGGCUAAUAUCCGAUAGAUAAUGGAUCCUGGAAUGGUUCAUUAUUCAAACGGCACAUUGCUCAUGCGCAGUGUGUCGCCUGAGGAUGAGACUGCACCCUAUCAGGUAGUUGGUGGGGUAAUGGCCCACCAAGCCUAUAACGGGUACGGGCCCUGAGAGGGGGAGCCCGGAGAUGGGCACUGAGACAAGGGCCCAGGCCCUACGGGGCGCAGCAGGCGCGAAACCUCUGCAAUGCGCGAAAGCGCGACAGGGCCACCCCGAGUGCUAGCCGCUGAGGUUAGCUUUUCCUUAGUGUAGUAAGCUAAGGGAAUAAGCGGGGGGCAAGCCUGGUGUCAGCCGCCGCGGUAAUACCAGCUCCGCGAGUGGUCGGGACGAUUAUUGGGCCUAAAGCGUCCGUAGCCGGCCUAUCAAGUCUCUGGUUAAACCUCAAGGCUCAACCUUGAGAUCGCUGGAGAUACUGUUAGGCUAGGGGGCGGGAGAGGUUGAGGGUACUUCGCGGGUAGGGGCGAAAUCCUAUAAUCCGCGAAGGACCAC
RNAcentral lists this ribosomal RNA (600 nucleotides) under uncultured archaeon. RNAcentral describes it as "bacterial SSU rRNA". It matches the Rfam family "Archaeal small subunit ribosomal RNA", at positions 76 to 660 of the family's 1478-position model. The record is from RNAcentral.